Molecule: transfer RNA, 106 nt
Filed under: Lentinula raphanica
Lineage: Eukaryota; Fungi; Basidiomycota; Agaricomycetes; Agaricales; Omphalotaceae
Description: tRNA-Gly
Rfam family: tRNA
About the family: Transfer RNA (tRNA) molecules are approximately 80 nucleotides in length. Their secondary structure includes four short double-helical elements and three loops (D, anti-codon, and T loops). Further hydrogen bonds mediate the characteristic L-shaped molecular structure. tRNAs have two regions of fundamental functional importance: the anti-codon, which is responsible for specific mRNA codon recognition, and the 3' end, to which the tRNAs corresponding amino acid is attached (by aminoacyl-tRNA synthetases). tRNAs cope with the degeneracy of the genetic code in two manners: having more than one tRNA (with a specific anti-codon) for a particular amino acid; and 'wobble' base-pairing, i.e. permitting non-standard base-pairing at the 3rd anti-codon position.
Source: RNAcentral
GCAUUAAUGGGGUAGUGGUAACCUGGGUCGUUGCCAUCGAAGUUGACUAGGCUCUAACGCGAACGCUCUGCUCGACCCGCCGGGGGUUCGAUUCCCCCUUAAUGCA